CCUACGGGUGGCUGCAGUGGGGAAUAUUGGGCAAUGGGCGCAAGCCUGACCCAGCAAUGCCGCGUGAAGGAAGAAGGCUCUCGGGUUGUAAACUUCUUUUAUCAGGGACGAAGCAAGUGACGGUACCUGAUGAAUAAGCCACGGCUAACUACGGGCCAGCAGCCGCGGUAAUACGUAGGUGGCAACCUUUAUCCGGAUUUACGGGGUGUAAGGGGCGUGUAGGCGGGAAAGCAAGUCAGAUGUGAAAACCAUGGGCUCAACCUGUGGCCUGCAUUUGAAACUGUUUUUCUUGAGUACUGGAGAGGCAGACGGAAUUCCUAGUGUAGCGGUGAAAUGCGUAGAUAUUAGGAGGAACACCAGUGGCGAAGGCAGCCUGCUGGACAGCAACUGACGCUGAGGCGCGAAAGCGUGGGGAGCAAAUAGGAUUAGAUACCCGUGUAGUC
RNAcentral lists this ribosomal RNA (443 nucleotides) under uncultured bacterium. Its description in RNAcentral is "partial 16S ribosomal RNA". It matches the Rfam family "Bacterial small subunit ribosomal RNA", at positions 338 to 795 of the family's 1533-position model. The record is from RNAcentral.